Molecule: ribosomal RNA, 138 nt
Filed under: Wickerhamomyces canadensis
Lineage: Eukaryota; Fungi; Ascomycota; Saccharomycetes; Phaffomycetales; Wickerhamomycetaceae
Description: partial 26S ribosomal RNA
Source: RNAcentral
GGCCAGCAUCGAUUCGGAGCGGCAGGAUAAUGGUAGGGGGAACGUGGCAGGUGUCUUUGGCAGCUGUGUUAUAGCCCUCUGCAGAUGCUGCNUGCCUGGAUCGAGGCUGCGUCUUUUAGACUAGGAUGCUGGCGUAAU